CAAGAUGAAGCGCAUGACCGGGGUCAAGAGCAAGGAGCUCCUCAUCUGGAUCACCCUCUGCGACAUGUACAUCGACAAGGAUGACCCCUCCAAGAUCACCUUCAAGACGGCCACCGGGCUCGGCAGGACCUUCCCCGUCUCCGCCUUCGGGAAAGAGGACUGCAAGGAGGCCGCGGUGGGCAAGUAAGUGAGGACGGACGGCAUAUAUACUCUACAAAGUUGGAUGAAGAUUGAAGAGUGUUCAAGUUCAAUUUAUAAGUACCUCGGUCUGGGUUUAUUAGCCCUAUUGUAUUUUGGGUCAACAUUUGACCAUUGAUUUACUUACCAAAAAAUAAGUUAUACUGUUUAUCAUAAAAUAGUAUCAUCGGAAGCUUCUUUCGAAUAAGAAUUCAACAAUAUAAUUUUUGUGACAUAUAACUUGUAUUUUGUUUGUCAAUUCUAUAGUCUAAAUAAGACACAAAAUACAAGAGAGACCAACAAACCCGGACGAAGUACAAAAUUACGAAGUAAUUUAUGAAUGUAAAUCAUUAUAUAAUGUGCUAUUUAGAUGAACACCAUUCAUUUGAAUAUUAUUACCUCUGUCCUAAAUUAGUUGUCUUAAAUUUGUCUAGAUACGAAUGUGUUGACAUGUUUUAGUGUUAGAUAUAUUUGUAUCUAAAUAAAUCUAAGACAAUUUGGAACGGAGGAAGUAUCUUUUUUGUCUAGGUCCCAAAUGGUUAUAUUAUUGAUUUAUUUUUUACAAGUGCACAUUACACAUCAUUGCUAACAUCCAUGAAUUAUUUCAUAUAUUUAGAAAUCGGGAAAAAAAGAGAGAGAGUAUGGGUUGUACCCGAUCUAAUUUUUGAAAAAAGGCCUCUUAGGGCAUCUUUAAUACCGUGCUGCAAAACGCCCGCAAAUGUUCAAACCGGCUUGUUCAGAUGAUUUUUGUCAUCCAACAUAGUGUCGCAUACGUUCGCGGACACAUCCACGUGUCCCAAUUCCCGCAAACCCGAUACAAAGUUAGGGGGGGUUUGCGGGAUUCCGGACCUCCUCUACGUAGAACUCCGACAACUUCGGCCGACCCGAAACCCCACUCAGAGCCCAUGCAUUUGGCCACAUCUGCACCAGUUCCGUGACAAACCCCGCAUAUUCCCACCCUUUUAGUCAAUCGUUAUCGCCCUCCACCCUUGUUCCCACCCUUACUCCGCCUAACUGCCACAUAUAUUUGUUCGUACCAUUGUCGGAGCUGGAGGAGGAUCCAUAUGUGGUGGCCACCCGAGAGAUCAACUCAGCGAACCGCAACAUGCGUCGUCACGUCUAGAGGAGCAAUGAGAAAGUGGCUUUGGUGGCCGGCCACCCAUCACCUCCUAAGAAGGAUAGUGGUCCGGGGUGGGGCAAGGAGCCAAGCGGGCAUGUGGUCCGUUGUCGCCACCUCCGAUGCACUCGCUGACCUGACCAAUGAAGAUGCAGCCACUGUUCAACUACGCCGCAGCGUAGCUCGGUCAAUAUCACCCAUCCCCGAUCACUUCCGCAACUUCCGUGCCAUGGUACGUCGACCUGAACGCUCCCAUCCACUUCCGUGAGUCGACAUCGGUGCAACUUAUCCGGUUGCGGACGCCAGGCGUGGAUCCAUUGGGCACCCUCUCUCUAUUCACCGAUAGGUCUCAACUGGGCAUGACACCGGCGGAUCACAGAGGGAUGUUGGACAUCAUCCAUGACAGAUGUGGCUUCAAGGAUGGACAAGUUGAUGAUUCCUAGUCGAAGACGUACACGGAGCAGUCGUGUACACUCAACAGUCGGGUAUGUACAACAAGCAGCCAGGAACGUACACCCAAUAGCCAUACUCGUACGCCGAGCAGACGUGCCUUGAUCUAGACGAUUGGUUGGCCGGUGGCAACCCAAAGAAGAUGGGGAGCAGAGAAAGUUUUAAUUUGAGGGAGGUUGAAUUGUUGCGUGAUGCUUGCUUGGCCACUAGUGUCGAUCCGUUUUAAGGAAUGGAACAAAGGGGCUCAACAUUUUGGUCCAAUGUACAAGAACUUUGAUCCCUACCGUAUGGAAGUGGCACGAGACCGUUUGCCAAAGUCGGUCACCUAUCAUUACACCAUCCAAAAGUCUGUGAGCAAGUAUUGCGGCCAUCUUAAUACAUUCAUAAACCGGUGGCCAACUAGUGCGAUAAUAUCCGAGCAAGUAACACUACUAAGGAAAAAUCUAGCAAUACUGCGGGUUAGAUGUAUAUCAGUAGCGCGGGUGGCAACGCUACUGAUAAGGCGCCACAGCUAACUUUCAUCAGUAGCGCGUUUUGACCCGCGCUACUGCUGACUUACUUAGUAGUAGCGUUCCUUCACAAACGCGCUACUGCUAAUAGCAGCAACGCCUCUAUAAUCGCGCUACUGCUAACUUUUCCUGUAUUUUUUAUGCAGCAUAUUGGCGCUGUAUUUGUACAGUUUUGGUACAGUAGUCUCAUAAUAUGAUUUUAUGAUCAUGAUGAGUUAUUAUAUAUAUACGGUAGUCUCUUCACUCACUGAUAUAUAUAAUAACUCAUCAUGCUCAUAUAACAACUAAGCAUCAUCAUCAUUAAUAAUAACUCUUCAUCAUUAUCAUAAUAAAAAGUCAUACUCAUCAUCAUCAUAGUCAUCUAACAACUUCUACUCGCUAUCAUAAUAACAAGUCAUACUCAUCAUCAUCAUAGUCAUCUAACCAACCCUACUUAAUUGUUCUUAGCACAUGAUCAUGAGUAUUAGCUAGGACCUACUACCCUCUCUAAGGUAAAAUAGUAUAAAACAAGAUAGCCCCUGACAUUUCAUUAUGGACAAUGGAGAUUAUCUUGUCUCCAAUUCUUGCGCUUCACACAAUGUUGCUUCCAAGUAGCUCUCUAUGAUUGUUCAUACAUCUUUUUAUUCUUUGAUUGUCAUGUCUUCAUCGGUUUUAGAAAUCCGGUAUGAACAACAGUGAAGCCUAGGCGGACUUGGCCGUAAGGUAAUAACAUCAAGGCGACUUUUCGGAAACAUCAGAUCAGGCACACAAUCCUUCGGGAUUUUUUGUUCAAAAACAUAAUAAUAACAUAGUAGUUAGCAAUGUAGUUGAGCUAUAUAAGAAUGUAUGCAAAAGAUGCACAAAUGUUGUAAUAGUAAAAAAAUCUUACCAUGCCAUCUCCCUGGAUGUUACCGUCGUUCAACACGUGCACUAGUGACACAUAUUGACCAUAAUGUGUAGGAGUUUCAUAACUGAUAUUGUAAUUCUCAACAUCAAUAAUAAAUGAGAUAAGAUGAUCUUUCUCCACAUAAGUUAAUUCAGAGCCAUCGGUGUAGUAGGUUCUGUCUACCAUCUUUCGCACAUUUUUUGAAGAAUGAAAAUAUGCUGUCAACUAUUUUGAAAUAAACAAUAUAAAUUACUUAAUAAAUAUGUUUGAGAAAAUCACAUAGAGGUAGAAGUGGAAGAGUAUCAACAAGGACCCAAAUGUCGAUAUUCUCUUCGUCGAUGUCAUCUUCAGGAUCACUAAGAUCGAAGGCGACAAGCAUACCCUCCUGAAAACCAUACGCCUUGCACAGUGCCUCCCAAUUCGAGCAACCAAAAUGGGAUACGCUCUCCGUAUUGUAUAGCUUUACGGCAAAAGCAUAACCAUGAUGGGUCCUGAGGUGAACUAUCUUUGUCUCCCUAUUCUCAUGAUCUUUGAAAUUUAGCUUCUCCAAGACAUAGCGUCUUGCAUGGCAUGGGAUAAGCUAGUCAAAUUGUAAAAGACGGAAAUUACAUGUUGAAAACGCAGAAGUCAUGCUUAAUUACGAAAAAAGACUUGUCGUCGUUGCGUACUAUUUUAACAUCGAAGGUCUCGUCGAGCUUAAUACUGAAGUGCCGACCGUCUACCAGGUUAGGCCUGUCGCACAGACCCCGGUCGUUGCCGCUGUAGUCGCACUCCGGGAUCCUAUCGUCAUCGUCAGACAUUUUCUAUGUUCAUAAUUCAAAUAUUAAACAUCUAAAAUUCAAUAUAUGUACUACAAAAACUAAAUUAGAUCAUUAUUAUUCAUCACGAGUUAACUAUCGGUCUGUCGAGUCUUUUCUUAAAAACUCUCAGCUCACGUGGUGUAUAUAUCUCAGUUCACGUGGUGUAUAUAUUAGACCGUCCGUGAUGAUCGCUCCUCCCUUCGUCCCCAAGUGCAUUACACCAAAAUGUCUAGCACACGGGAACGAGGGAGAAGCGACCCCCACGACAACAGUUGAGAUUCUUCCUCUCUGACAUUUGCGACCGUUGGUGAUGGUCGCUCUUCUCUUUUUUUCCGUGCAUUACCAAAAGGUCUAUUGAUGUCUACUACACAACCUUCUUCUUGUAGACGUUGUUGGGCCUCCAAGUGCAGAGGUUUGUAGGACAGUAGCAAAUUUCCCUCGAGUGGAUGACCUAAGAUUUAUCAAUCCGUAAGAGGCGUAGGAUGAAGAUGGUCUCUCUCAAGCAACCCUGCAACCAAAUAACAAAGAGUCUCUUGUGUCCCCAACACACCCAAUACAAUAGUAAAUUGUAUAGGUGUCCUAGUUCGGCGAAGAGAUGCUGAUACAAGUGGUAUAUGGAUGGUAGAUAAAGGUUUUUGAAAUCUGAAAAUAUAAAAACAGAAAGGUAACUAAUGAUAAAAGUGAGCGUAAACGGUAUUGCAAUGCCUUGAAACAAGGCCUAGGGUUCAUACUUUCACUAGUGCAAGUCCUCUCAACAAUAAUAACAUAAUUGGAUCACAUAACUAUCCCUCAACAUGCAACAAAGAGUCACUCCAAAGUAACUAAUAGCGGAGAACGAACGAAGAGAUUAUGGUAGGGUACGAAACCACCUCAAAGUUAUUCUUUCCAAUCAAUCCGUUGGGCCAUUCCUAUAAGUGUCACAAACAGCCCUAGAGUUCGUACUAGAAUAACACCUUAAGACACAAAUCAACCAAAACCCUAAUGUCAGCUAGAUACUCCAAUGUCACCUCAAGUAUCCAUGGGUAUGAUUAUACGAUAUGCAUCACACAAUCUCAGAUUCAUCUAUUCAACCAACACAUAGAACCUCAAAGAGUGUCCCAAAGUUUCUACCGGAGAGUCAAGAUGAUAAGUCUGCCAACCCCUAUGCAUAGAUUCAUGGGCAGAACCCGCAAGUUGAUCACCAAAACAUACAUCAAGUGGAUCAAUAGAAUACCCCAUUGUCACCACGGGUAUCCCACGCAAGACAUACAUCAAGUGUUCUCAAAUCCUUAAAGACUCAAUCCGAUAAGAUAACUUCAAAGGGAAAACUCAAUCCAUCACAAGAGAGUAGAGGGGGAGAAACAUAAUAAGAUCCAACUAUAAUAGCAAAGCUCGCGAUACAUCAAGAUCAUAUCACCUCAAGAACACGAGAGAGAGAGAGAGAGAGAGAGAUCAAACACAUAGCUAUUGGUACAUACCCUCAGCCCCGAGGGAGAACUACUCCCUCCUCGUCAUGGAGAGCGCCGGGAUGAUGAAGAUGGCCACCGGAGAGGGAUUCCCCCCUCCGGCAGGGUGCCGGAACGGGUCUAGAUUGGUUUUCGAUGGCUACGGAGGCUUCUGGCGGUGGAACUCCCGAUCUAUUGUGCUCUCCGAAGUUUUUAGGGUAUAUGGGUAUAUAUGGGAGGAAGAAGUAUGUCGGUGGACCUCCGGCUAUCCACGAGGCAGGUGGGCGCGCCCAGGGGGGUGGGCGCGCCCCCACCCUCAUGGGCAGCCCGGGACUCUCCUGGUUCAACUCCGAUACUCCAUGGGCUUCUUCUGCUCCAAAAAUAAGUUUCGUGAAGUUUCAGGUCAAUUGGACUCCGUUUGAUUUUCCUUUUCUACGAUACUCUAAAACAAGGAAAAACAGAAUCUGGCACUGGGCUCUGGGUUAAUAGGUUAGUCCCAAAAAUCAUAUAAAAUAGCAUAUAAAUGUAUAUAAAACAUCCAAGGUUGAUAAUAUAAUAGCAUGGAACAAUCAAAAAUUAUAGAUACGUUGGAGACGUAUCAGCAUCCCCAAGCUUAAUUCCUGCUCGUCCUCGAGUAGGUAAAUGAUAAAAACAGAAUUUUUGAUGUGAAUGCUACCUAACAUAUUUCUCUAAGUAAUUCUCGUCAUUUUGGCAUGAAUGUUCAUAUCCAUAAGAUUCAAGACAAAAGUUUAAUAUUGACAUAAAAAUAAUAAUACUUCAAGCAUACUAACUAAGAAAUCAUGUCUUCUCAAAUAACAUGGCCAAAGAAAGUUCAUCCCUACAAAAUCAUAUAAUUUGGUCAUGCUCCAUUUUCGUCACACAAGAAUGCUCUCAUCAUGCACAACCCCGAUGACAAGCCAAGCACUUGUUUCAUACUUUAGUGAUCUCAAACUUUUUUCAACUUUCACGCAAUACAUGAGCGUGAGCCAUGGAUAUAGCACUAUGGGUGGAAUAGAAUAUAAUGAGGGGGUUAUGUGGAGAAGGCAAAAAUAAGAAAGUCUCACAUCGACGCGGCUAAUCAAUGGGCUAGGGAGAUGCCCAUCAAUUGAUGUCAAUGCAAGGAGUAGGGAUUGCCAUGCAACGGAUGCACUAGAGCUAUAAAUGUAUGAAAGCUCAACAAAAGAAACUAAGUGGGUGUGCAUCCAACUUGCUUGCUCACGAAGACAUAGGGCACUUGAGGAGGCCCAUUGUUGGAAUAUACAAGCCAAGUUCUAUAAUGAAAAUUUCCCACUAGUAUAUGAAAGUGACAAAACAAGAGACUCUCUAUCAUGAAGAUCAUGGUGCUACUUUGAAGCACAAGUGUGGAAAAAAAGGAUAGUAGCAUUGUCCCUUUUUUUAUUUUUUUAUUUUUAUUUGGCCUUUUUUUGGCCUUUCUUUUUUAUUUGGCCUUUCUCUUUUUUGGCCUUUUUUGGGACAAUCCUCUUUUAAUGAUGAUCAUCCCACUUUUAUUUAUUUACAACUCAAUUAUUACAACUCGAUACUAGAACAAAGCAUGACUCUAUAUGAAUGCCUCCGGCGGUGUACCGGGAUUGCAAUGAAUCAAGUGUGACAUGUAUGAAAAAUUGGUGGCUUUGCCACAAAUACGAUGUCAACUACAUGAUCAUGCAAAGCAAUAUGACAAUGAUGACGCGUGUCAUAAUAAACGGAAUGGUGGAAAGUUGCAUGGCAAUAUAUCUCGGAAUGGCUAUGGAAAUGCCACAAUAGGUAGGUAUGGUGGCUGUUUUGAGGAAGAUAUAAGGAGGUUUAUAUGUGACAGAGCGUAUCAUAUCACGGGGUUUGGAUGCACCGGCGAAGUUUGCACCAACUCUCAAUGUGAGAAAGGGCAAUGCACGGUACCGAAGAGGCUAGCAAUGAUGGAAGGUAAGAGUGCGUAUAAUCCAUGGACUCAACAUUAGUCAUAAAGAACUCACAUACUUAUUGCAAAAAUCUACAAGUCAUCAAAAACCAAGCAUUACGCGCAUGCUCCUAGGGGGUAUAUUGGUAGGAAAAGACCAUCGCUCGUCCCCGGCCGGCACGCAUAAGGAAGACAAUCAAAUAACACCUCAUGAUUCAAAUUUGUUACACAACGUUUACCAUACGUGCAUGCUACGGGACUUGCAAACUUCAACACAAGUAUUCCUCAAAUUCACAACUACCCAACUAGCACAACUUUGAUAUCACUAUCUCCAUAUCUCAAAACAAUUAUCAAGUAUCAAACUUCUCUUAGUAUUCAAUGCACUUACAUGAAAGUUUUUAUUAUAUCCCUCUUGGAUGCCCAUCAUAUUAGGACUAAAUUCAUAGCCAAAGCAAAUUACCAUGAUGUUUAGGACUCUCAAAAUAAUAUAAGUGAAGCAUGAGAGAUCAAUUAUUUCUAUAGAAUAAAACCACCACCUUGCUCUAAAAAGAUAUAAGUGAAGCACUAGAGCAAAUGAAAAACUACUCCGAAAGAUAUAAGUGAAGAUCAAUGACUAGUCGAACAAUUAUGCAACUAUACGAAGACUCUCUAACAUUUAAUAAUUUCAGAUCUUGGUAUUUUAUUCAAAUAGAAAGAAAAACAAAAUAAAAUAAGAUGACGCUCCAAGCAAAACACAUAUCAUGUGGCGAAUAAAAAUAUAGCUCCAACUAAAGUUACCGAUGAACGAAGACGAAAGAGGGGAUACCUUCCGGGGCAUCCCCAAGCUUAGGCUUUUGGUUGUCCUUGAAUAUUACCUUGGGAUGCCUUGGGCAUCCCAAGUUUAGGCUCUUGCCACUCCUUAUUCCAUAAUCCAUCGAAUCUUUACCCAAAACUUGAAAACUUCACAACACAAAACUUAACAGAAAACUCAUAAGCUCCGUUAGCGAAAGAAAACAAAACACCACUUCAAGGUACUAUAAUAAACUCAUUCUUUAUUUAUAUUGGUGUUAAACCUACUGUAUUCCAACUUCUCUAUGGUUUAUAAAUUCUUUUGCUAGCCAUAGAUUCAUCAAAAUAAGUAAACAACACAUGAAAAACAGAAUCUGUCAAAAAUAGAACAGUCUGUAGUAAUCUGUAACUAACGCAAACUUCUGGAACCCCAAAAAUUCUAAAAUAAAUUACUGGACGUGAGGAAUUUAUCUGCUAAUCAUCUUAAAAAAAUAAUUAACUAAAUAUCAGUCUCCAAAUAAAAAUGUCAGUAAUUCUCGUGAGCGCUAAAGUUUCUGUUUUUUAGAGCAAGAUUAAAAAGACUUUCCCCAAGUCUUCCUAACGGUUCUACUUGGCACAAACACUAACUAAAACAGAAAAACUCAAUCAUAACAUACGCUAGAUAAAUUAUUUAUUACUAAACAGGUGCAAAAAGCAAGGAACAAAAAUAAAAUUGGGUUGCCUCCCAACAAGCGCUAUCGUUUAAUGCCCCUAGCUAGGCAUGAUGAUUUCGAUGAUGCUCACAUAAAAGAUAAGAAUUGUAACAUAAAGAGGGCAUCAUGAAGAAUAUGACUAGCACAUUUAAGCCUAACCCACUUCCUAUACAUAGGGAUUUUGUGAGCAAACAACUUAUGGGAACAAGAAUCAACUUGCAUAGGAAGGCAAAACAAGCAUAACUUCAGGAUUUUAAGCACAUAGAGGGGAAACUUGAUAUUAUUGCAAUUCCUACAAGCAUAUAUUCCUCCCUCAUAAUAAUUUUCAGUAGCAUCAUGAAUGAAUUCAACAAUAUAACUAUCACAUAAAGCACUAUUCUCAUGAUGCACAAGCAUAGAAUUUUUAUUACUCUCCACAUAAGCAAACUUCUUCUCAUGAAUAGUAGUGGGAGAAAACUCAACAAAAUAACUAUCAUAUGAGGCAUAAUCCAAUUGAAAACUAAAAUCAUGAUGACAAGUUUCAUGAUUAUCAUUAAUCUUUAUAGCAUACAUGUCAUCACAAUAAUCAUCAUAGGUAGAAACUUUGUUCUCAUAAUCAAUUGGAACCUCUUCCAAAAUAGUGGAUUCAUCACAGAAUAAAGUCAUGACCUCUCCAAAUCCACUUUCAGCAAUAUAAUCAUCAUAAAUAGGAGGCAUGCUUUCAUCAUAAUAAACUAGCAAUGUGACCCGCGCAUUUGCGCGGCUAGAUAUAGCACAUAUUUAGUUAUUUAACUGUAUUUCUCUUUUGGAUAUUUUGACAACUAUCACUCAAAAUAUGACUAACAUUUAUGCUUUGUUUAUUUUAUUGUGUUGUUAUGUAGCAUUGGGGCCUUUCGAUCACGUUGUCAAUCAUGAACUUUUGGACUAAUUACGGCUUCUAUAACUAUAUUUCCACUCAUAAAUUGCAUAAUGAUCUGUUUGUAUGGAUCAAAAUAAAAAGUGAGAGCUCAUACUUGAGGUUAGUUGAUGCCUUCAUCCAGCUGCCUUCUCAUUGACUAUAUACGGAUGGUGUUUUGGGCCGUUGUAAGAAAACUUAUCUUACUCUUGCUGGGUUUGCGAAAAUAUAAACAUUAUCUCUCCCUCUCCACUAUCACUAUGCCUCCAUAUAGUAUUUUCCCGAAGGGCAUCGGUAGGUUAUUCACUCUCCUAUAUUUCUUCACAAAAAUGGAAUGGCUCAUUAUACACUUGACAUGGUUUUCCACUGUCAAUUUUUUGUAAAACCUUAAUUACUCCCAUCGUAGCUUCCCAUUAGAGCCGUGAUCGCAUCUCCCACUAUUGCACUUACCCAUGCAUAGAAGGUGCUAAUGACAUCCCCCUCUAUGUCGUCGGCAACGAUUCUUUUUUUAAAGACAUUGACAACAAUGGUGUGAAUCCAUGGAUCAUAUUAUUUUGUGGAUCGGAUUUCACUUGAAUGUAUAUUGUUCCCUUGCAAAUUAAUUAUCAGCACAUACAUGAUCCUAGCUUAUUUGGGUGGAUGAGCGGCUGCGAAAUCUAACUGCCUGUGUCACAUUUCUUGUGCAUUAUUUCAUGAUGGUGUGCAUGUAUGUACUUGCAUAUUUGAAGAUAUUGUAACUGUCUAUAUAUAGUCAAUUUUCUUAGAGAGCAUAUAUAAUGAGUACAGUUUCGGAAGACGGUCAACACGUUUAUAUGGGUCAUCUCAAAAAAUUAGGAUAUUUCAAGAAAUAUAUAUGUUAGUCUCUCGAAUCCUUUUACAUUAAGCCUUAAAAGAGUUUACAUUAAAUUCCAUAAUAAUGCAAAAAAGAUUACGUGUUUGACCACAAAGGAAAGCAGGCCAUUGCAUGACUCAGUAUGAUAGUUUCCAAUCUCCGUGUAUUGUAGGUGGAGCUGCUAUAUCUCAAAGUCUGUGCAAACAAAAAGAGGAAUUAGAUGUCUCACACACUUGAUCUGAUCUUUUUUUCUAUGAAAUUACCUUUUUUAGGAAGAUGUCUCAUGCAUUAGUAAUAGUCUGCGACUUCUCGUUUUUUAAUUUCAUUUUGUUUUCAAGUCGUGACAUGCAUGGCGUAUAUGGCAAUCGCUUGUAUAAAGUGUUAAGCUAGAUGACUUGUACACCUUUCUAUGAAGACAACUUGUACACAGUUCAUUUAGUGGUGUUUUCUCUUUUCUCGAAUCUAUUGUGUCCGAUUGAUGCACACGUUCAGUCCCUCCCUCAUAAACGUGUUAGGCUCAUACACAGUUUAUUACGCCUCCCUGUAUGUGUCUAAUGAUUUUUUUCCUUCCAAAAUUUGUCCGCCCUCUGUUUGAUAACGUACAUGUCUAGGAGAGAAUCCUAUACUUUUUUAUUUAUUUUUGAGACGGGUGUCGGACUUCAAGGUACUAUAAUGAACUCAUUCUUUAUUUAUAUUGGUGUUAAACCUACUGUAUUCCAAUUUCUCUAUGGUUUAUAAAUUCUUUUACUAGCCAUAGAUUCAUCAAAAUAAGUAAACAACAUAUGAAAAACAGAAUCUGUUAAAAAUAGAACAGUCUGUAGUAAUCUGUAACUAACGCAAACUUCUGGAACCCCAAAAAUUCUAAAAUAAAUUACUGGACGUGAGGAAUUUAUCUACUAAUCAUCUUAAAAAAAUAAUUAACUAAAUAUCAGUCUCCAAAUAAAAAUGUCAGCAAUUCUCAUGAGCGCUAAAGUUUCUGUUUUUUAGAGCAAGAUUAAAAAGACUUUUCCCAAGUCUUCCUAACGGUUCUACUUGGCACAAACACUAAUUAAAACAUAAAAACUCAAUCAUAACAUACGCUAGAUAAAUUAUUUAUUACUAAACAGGUGCAAAAAGCAAGGAACAAAAAUAAAAUUGGGUUGUCUCCCAACAAGCGCUAUCGUUUAACGCCCCUAGCUAGGCAUGAUGAUUUCGAUGAUGCUCACAUAAAAGAUAAGAAUUGUAACAUAAAGAGGGCAUCAUGAAGAAUAUGACUAGCACAUUUAAGCCUAACCCACUUCUUAUACAUAGGGAUUUUGUGAGCAAACAACUUAUGGGAACAAGAAUCAACUUGCAUAGGAAGGCAAAACAAGCAUAACUUCAGGAUUUUAAGCACAUAGAGGGGAAACUUGAUAUUAUUGCAAUUCCUACAAGCAUAUAUUCCUCCCUCACAAUAAUUUUCAGUAGCAUCAUUAAUGAAUUCAACAAUAUAAUUAUCACACAAAGAACUAUUCUCAUGAUGCAUAAGCAUAGAAUUUUUAUUACUCUCCACAUAAGCAAACUUCUUCUCAUGAAUAGUAGUGGGAGAAAACUCAACAAAAUAACUAUCAUGUGAGGCAUAAUCCAAUUGAAAACUAAAAUCAUGAUGACAAGUUUCAUGAUUAUCAUUAAUCUUUAUAGCAUACAUGUCAUCACAAUAAUCAUCAUAGGUACAAACUUUGUUCUCAUAAUCAAUUGGAACCUCUUCCGAAAUAGUGGAUUCAUCACAGAACAAAGUCACGACCUCUCCAAAUCCACCUUCAUCAAUAUAAUCAUCAUAAAUAGGAGGCAUGCUUUCAUCAUAAUAAAUUUGCUCAUCGAAACUUGGGGGACAAAAAAUAUCAUCUUCAUCAAACAUAGCUUCCCCAAGCUUGUGGCUUUGCAUAUCAUUAGCAUGAUGGAUAUUCAAGGAAUUCAUACUAACAACAUUGCAAUCAUGCUCAUCAUUCAAAUAUUUAGUGCCAAAUAUUUUAAUGCAUUCUUCUUCUAACACUUUGGCACAAUUUUCCUUUCCAUCAUACUCAUGAAAGAUAUUAAAAAGAUGAAGCGUAUGAGGCAAACUCAAUUCCAUAUUUUUUUGGUAGUUUUAUUUUAUAAACUAAAGUAGUGCUAAAACAAGAAACAAAAAGAUUCGAUUGCAAUAUCUAAAGAUAUACCUUCAAGCGCUAACCUCCCCGGCAACGGCGCCAGAAAAGAGCUUGAUAUCUACUACACAACCUUCUUCUUGUAGACGUUGUUGGGCCUCCAAGUGCAGAGGUUUGUAGGACAGUAGCAAAUUUCCCUCAAGUGGAUGACCUAAGGUUUAUCAAUCUGUAGGAGGCGUAGGAUGAAGAUGGUCUCUCUCAAGCAAUCCUGCAACCAAAUAACAAAGAGUCUCUUGUGUCCCCAACACACCCAAUACAAUGGUAAAUUGUAUAGGUGCACUAGUUCGGCGAAGAGAUGGUGAUAUAAGUGGUAUAUGGAUGGUAGAUAAAGGUUUUUGUAAUCUGAAAAUAUAAAAACAGCAAGGUAACUAAUGAUAAAAGUGAGCGUAAACGGUAUUGUAAUGCGCUGAAACAAGGCUUAGGGUUCAUACUUUCACUAGUGCAAGUCCUCUCAACAAUAAUAACAUAAUUGGAUCACAUAACUAUCCCUCAACAUGCAACAAAGAGUCACUCCAAAGUAACUAAUAGCGGAGAACGAACGGAGAGAUUAUGGUAGGGUACGAAACCACCUCAAAGUUAUUCUUUCCAAUCAAUCCGUUGGGCCAUUCCUAUAAGUGUCACAAACAGCCCUACAGUUUGUACUAGAAUAACACCUUAAGACACAAAUCAACCAAAACCCUAAUGUCAACUAGAUACUCCAAUGUCACCUCAAGUAUCCGUGGGUAUGAUUAUACAAUAUGCAUCACACAAUCUCAGAUUCAUCUAUUCAACCAACACAUAGAACCUCAAAGAGUGCCCCAAAGUUUCUACCGGAGAGUCAAGACGAAAACGUGUGCCAACCCCUAUGCAUAGAUUCAUGGGCGGAACCCGCAAGUUGAUCACCAAAAUAUACAUCAAGUGGAUCAAUAGAAUACCCCAUUGUCACCACGGGUAUCUCACGCAAGACAUACAUCAAGUGUUCUCAAAUCCUUAAAGACUCAAUCCGAUAAGAUAACUUCAAAGGGAAAACUCAAUCCAUUACAAGAGAGUAGAGAGGGAGAAACAUCAUAAGAACCGACUAUAAUAUCAAAGCUCGCGAUACAUCAAGAUCAUAUCACCUCAAGAACACGAGAGAGAUAGAGAGAGAUCAAACACAUAGCUACUGGUACAUACCCUCAGCCCCGAGGGAGAACUACUCCCUCCUCGUCAUGGAGAGCGUCGGGAUGAUGAAGAUGGCCACCGGAGAGGGAUUCCCCCCUCUGGCAGGGUGCCGGAACGGGUCUAGAUUGGUUUUCGGUGGCUAUGGAGGCUUCUGGUGGCGGAACUCCCGAUCUAUUGUGCUCUCCGAAGUUUUUAGGGUAUAUGGGUAUAUAUGGGAGGAAGAAGUACGUCGGUGGACCUCCGGCUGUCCACGAGGCAGGGGAGUGCGCCCCCCACCCUCGUGGGCAGCCCGGGACUCUCCUGGUCCAACUCCGAUACUCCGUGGGCUUCUUCCGGUCCAAAAAUAAGUUCCAUGAAGUUUCAGGUCAAUUGGACUGCGUUUGAUUUUCUUUUUCUGCGAUACUCUAAAACAAGGAAAAAAUAGAAACUGGCACUGGCACUGGGCUCUGGGUUAAUAGGUUAGUCCCAAAAAUCAUAUAAAAUAGCAUAUAAAUGCAUAUAAAACAUCCAAGGUUGAUAAUAUAAUAGCAUAGAACAAUCAAAAAUUAUAGAUACGUUGGAGAUGUAUCAUCUAUCACGAGAAAGAAGAGGAAGAACGACCCCCACGACAAUAGUCAGCAUUCUUCUUCUCUCAUAUAUGGUGGAGUCCCGACAGACUUAAAGUCAACCCGAAAUGUCGUUUAAUUAUCUUUGUAGAAAAUUAGGGCCACUCAAUAUUUCGUACAUAUUCUAUCACAAGUCAACCCGAAAUUCACAGAAAAAUCCGGCCCGACCUUUGCUAAAAAGGACACAUAUCAAGUGUCUGAAAUUUUCCGGAAUGGAAAUUAAUCAACACUCCGGUAAAACAUAGGCCACUCUGAGGUGUUCCGUGCAAACAUAGGCCACUUGGGCAAGCACUAGUAGUACACAACACUACAUAUCACAUGUCUAAAUCUCCAUCAUAUUUGAAAGACCUACAUUGUAAAUUUUCUAUUCCAUGGAAAUUGUCACAACUACUCAUCUAGCUACUACUCUACUACAUCUAUCAAAACAUCUACAUCAUCGACAUGGGGAUUUGGAUGGUCUCGCCUCAAGGUCGGAGUGGUCGAUGACGGGGAUGACCGCGGGGAUGAUGCAGGGGCUCCUUGAUUUCUGCAAAACAAAAUAUAAACAAAAACAUUAUUAUCCCCAUCUUAGGACUUAGUGAAACCCUAUAAGCUAUCAACUAAACAUCAUUAUGCUGAUUCAAAUAACCUAUAUUUACUAAAAAUUUGUAUUAUCUAAAAUGCCCUUGUUCUAACCCUAACAGCUAUCCAUCCAUCUAUCUAUCCAAAGUAUUACUAAAGAAAACCUAGUUUAAUCCAUCUAUCUAUCCAAGCAUUAAAAAACCUAAUUUCAUCCACCCAUUUAUCUAUAAGAUUUCUACUAGUAGUAGGCUCAUAUAUAUGAACACCUAGGGUUACAUAUAUCUACAUUCUAUUGUACUCAAAAAACCUAUUUAGUGCUCUAAUGAUGAAAUGGGCUCAUAUAUAUGAACACCUAGGGUUCAUAUAUAUGAACCAAAUUAGUAAAAAACAUGAACAUAUUGCAUUUGCUAAUUCAUCCAACACAUUCAGAGGUACCUAGCUUUUGGGUGAAUUGAGAGGAGAAGGAGGUACUCACACGGUAGGUAGCCCGGGGCCGAGAAGGGGAUGGAGAGGGCAGGCGCGGGGGAGGGCGGCAGCGCGUGAGGGAAGGCCGGCACCAGGGAGCACCGACGCAUGGGGAGGGCGGGCGCGGGCCUGGGGAGGGCGGACCGAGCAGUGCGGGGGCAGGCCGUCGACGAGGGUGGGAGAGAGAGUGGAGAUGGAGAGUGAGGAGGAGAUACUAAGAGGUCAGACGCGGAGGACGAUGAUAACAUGGGCUUGGUAGUAGCAUGUGUUUAGGCUCAACGCUACUGCUAAUGUCAAUAGCAGUAGCGCCUGUUCGGAAGAGGCGCUACUACUAAGUGGGGAUGGGCACCUGAGCCCGAGCUGGCCAUAACAGAGCGCGGUUCACUAGCACGCGCUGCUGCUAACCACCUACUAGUAGCGCUCCAAAAUAGAACAUGCUACUACUAAUUAGCAGUAGCGCCUCUCUUUAACACGCGCUACUGAUAAGACUAUGUGUAUAAGGUUUUACCAAGUAGUGUAAGUUUUUGUAUGUGUUGGUCAUUUGGCCGGAUAUUCUAUAUGUGUUGGUCAUUUGGUCAGAUAAGCUAUAUGUGUUGACCAUGCCCUAUUUUGCUAGCCCUCCCAUGUGGUCGUGUUGUACUUGAAGUUGGAGAAGAAGAACUUCAUCGUCAUGCAUUGUUGGUUGAAGUUGAAUGGCAAUCCAUAUGGAUCAUAUCCAUUGCCAAUGCCAUCAAGACUUCUGGCAUCGGCAAUGAAGACUAAGAUGGUGAUACAACUAAGCAAACAAAAGGAGAGGCGGCCAAGAAGGUUAAAAAGGGGAUUCGGGGGAGAAGUGGGAGCGGGAUAAGGAUAAGCAAGAAGGGACAUCGACCGAAAUGACAUCAAAGUUAAAGGGCAUAAUGGACAAUGAGGAGGAGGCAUGUGUUAAGCGCCAUGACGUCAAGGAAGAAAAGAAGACGGAUGGGUUUGACAUCUUCAUGGCGGUGAAGGAGAAGAAGAUCAACCUUGAAGAGAAGAAUACCAAACUCGAAGAGAGGAGGGUCGAGCUCACGGCCGCUUCGGAGGAAACAAAAAUGUUGACCAUGAAUAUGGAUGAGUUGGAUACCAGUGCGGCGAAGAUCGUGCAAGCAAUCUGUGCAAAGAUGUUGAAGCACUCGGUGGAGUAUGGAUGAGGCGGAAGUUACGGAGGAGCCGACAACAGAGUGAUGACGAAGAAGGCACGAACAUGCGGUAAAUUUGCACGAACUGGAACUUUUUUGAUCGGACACAUGUAAAAAUUUGUGAACAUCCUUUGUUUUUUGGUUUUGAAGAUUGCAUACAUAUGCACUUUUAUUUGCUUAUCAAUUUGCUACCCGAUCAACAUUUGCACUUCAAAUGUAUCCAUAUAGGGCCUGGGCGGACAUUCUGGGCAAGGUGUUGGAUGGCUGACUCUUGUAUCCAUGUCCGUGGAUGCAUCCGGAAACAGAUAGUGUGUCCAUUUUGUGGCACAACAUUGGAGAUGCCCUUACCAGUUUGGUAUUUGUGUGUGACUGGUGUAUUACACAAGAAAACGACAUCUAAUGUGACGUAGGCCCUAACUUGGAGUUUGUGUGACAUGCAUGGUGCGGGUGCACCAUGGCCCGGAAUUUUUUGCUCUGAAAAGGAACAAUUAUGAAGCCACGUGAGCUUAUAAGAAUGAGGAUUUUGUGGACCCGGUCACAUGCGAAACAAGUGUUUCAAUAGUUAAAAAAGGCAUUAAGCCACCCAACACCAUGGUCCGAAAGAGACGGAGCCAAGUGGCGGCGAGCUACGGUGGCAGUUGUGCGGACGAGGCAGAAGAGAAGAGACAAAGAGGGCAUGUCGGGCUAGGUCAGAGAUGACUUGAAGAGAUUUGGGAUGGGUCCCUCUCAUCAGUCCAAUGUUGUGGACGCGUCUAGGUCUCCCCAUAUCCACCCAACAUAUGGGCUGGGUUUGAGGGCUGCCGGACAAGCCUGGACAUCUGGGCUGGGUAUAGGGGGUCCAGUUGGGUGGCAAUUUUGUGACCGUGUCGUCCAGGGGGGAUUUGAGGGGUCCGGUUAUAGAUGCUCUAGGACUUGACUGGUUCUCUGCAUCCGAGAGCGUCAAAGUGUUGUUCUGUUACUUAGGACGAGGUUGGUUUCGCCCAUCCCCAGCAGGGCUCCGUGGAUGCAAUUUUGGCCAGUUUUGGUUAGUUGGCCUGCUUCAAAAUCUUGUCCUGCAAUAACCUAAAAGCACUACUUAGCUAGACCCUAAGGAAACGACCAAAUCAAGAGUUUUCACUUAGCCCGGCACAUGUCGUGCAUGAAGGGGGAAAGCGGCGUUGAGCUCGUGUGAGCUUGCGGGUGUCCUCAAAAAAAUUGACGGGAGUAAUUCAGUCACCUCCCGCUAAUUGCCUCACCCUAUUUAGCUCCCUUUGGCUCACCGCUGAACCUGCGCCGCCACCCCUGUCAAGCUCUUCGCCUAUGCUGCUUAUUUCCCAAAGAGCAUGUAAGCGACAUCAUCUUCUCCGAUCAGUGGUAGUCGGCAACGUCCAUCCUUCCUCUUCUCCAAGUUGUUUCGUGCCUCCUUCCCACUACUCUGAUGGUUGCAAGUAACAUCACUCCCUACUCAUUGUAACUUAGAUUAGUGUGCAUGUGGUAGAUUAUAAUAGAUCGGCGGGUAGUAUGGUUUAGUGCUUGAUGAUGUUGUGUGAGGAUGGUAGAUCAGAUGAUAGUGGUGCCGUUUUGGUAGUUUGAUGGCUUAUAUAUUUUGUUAACCCCUUAGACCAUGAUGAUGAACUUGCGGUGGUAGAAUUACGCCCUCUUUUUAAUGUGGUGGUAGGAUGACACCAUAGUAGGUAGGAUGAACUUGUGAUACUUUUGGGUAUAUGAAUCAUGCAUGUGUGUGUUGCUUCUGUGUUCAUAGAUUGUCCUGCUUGUUGAAAUUUUGUUCUUAUGUCUUGCUAGAUGAAGUGGUAUGUGGUAUACUCAAAGAGGGUUAUAGGAGUCUAUGGUUCAUGGUAGACAUGCCAUGAACAAGUGAAGGAUUAUAAGAACAACUGCUAUUAAGGGUUUGAGACUAGAGAGGAGGCAAAGGAUGAGUACUCGAAGUUCGGGAUCAAAGAAAAAACAAUCAUGAAGUAAGCAAGGUUGGAUGUCAGAUUGAGUUUAAUGGGCUAAAGAACUUCAUAAUCUUUGUUCAAAUUGUAGUCAUUGUUGUUUUGUUGUUAUAUUGUUAUUGUAUAUAACAUGCAAAUACAAUAGUAGUUAGGGUAGCAUUUGGUAAGCUCAUCAAAUUGGAAUGCAAGUUAACCACAUUAGGCUGAAUGUAUACAACCAAACACAACAAAAUACAUCAUUCUAGCCAACAAUAGCAAAACACAAGCAGCCAAAGUUGAGGUUAGUUGUUGCUAUAAUUCCGUCUGGCUUUCUGGGCAACAAACAACAUGGCCCAAAGGUUGUAUUAGCGCGUCCAGGAUCUACUGGGUCACUCAUGCAAGGGGGCAAAAAUCGAUGCAAGGAACCAAUCAUGCCCUUAGCUCCGGUACUUAUAUUAUUAGUUUUUCAAAAGAAGACCUAUAUCUAUUAUAUACAUUUAUAAAAAAUACAAAUCACCUCAAACAUAAUAAAAAUUACAUCGAGUUCACUGAACCAUAGAAUAAAACGACCACUAGCAGCAUCAAAACAAGCCAGCGACACGUCGCUCCCCUAUCAGAGUUGGCUAGACCAUGUCGAUGAUGGCUGAAAAGUCAUGAUCGUGCCCCAAGGACUAGUGCUCAAAACAUGCAUUUGCCCUCACUGAACUCUUGAACGAUCCGAAGUGCUUGACGUAAAUACCGCUACCAUGCAUGCACGUCAUUAAAACUCUAAUCUCGAAGCCCAAAGACUCCAUCCCGUUGGACGAACUAGAAAAAGAUCAGAGCCCGAAAGACUGACUUGCCUUGAAGAGGAACCCCACACAUGCGAGGAUAUUUUUUUAACCUAAACUACUAACCAAAACCAAGGCAUCGAUAUUCUCCUCCUUGCCCCAUACAUGUUGUAGGUGAAUCCAUAGACUCACUGACGGAGCCUGAAGAGGUCGGUUGUCGUAGACACCGCAAAAGCGAAGUGGAAAGAUGCGUACCCUUUUUGCGGGGAAAGGGAAUUUUAUUCCAUAAUGAGAGAGUUAAAGUCGAGAGGCAAAAGAUCCUCAAUACAUGGUGGACCUAGGUACAACCACAUAGCCGCGGUACACUCUAAACGACUAUAAUUUGUCAAACGGUCAGCAACUCUAUUUUGAUCCCUAGAUAACUGCUAGGGAAUAAACUCCCUAUAUUUCAUCAACUUCUUAAUUUCAGCCACCAGAUGUCCAUAUGCAGAACAAACUAGUCCAUCUCUUGUAAGACUAGACAAAGCUCCACUUGAAUCAGAUUGGACAAUGACCGAAAGGUUACAAUGUUAUAAAGCAAGUGCCAUUCCUUGCAUGAUUGCAUGUAACUCCGCUUCCUGUGCAUUGUUGCAAUUGAAAUAAAUCGAUAUGCAGCAAAAAUAACUGAUCCAUUGUGAUGUCGAAGAAUCAUCCCUGCCGUGGUUGCACCAGACUCCCCUGAAAAGGACCCGUCCACUGACAGAGCAAUGUAAUCAUGAGGAGGAGGCAGCCAAAGCUUAGGAGCCGCGGCCACUCUUACUUAGGCAAAGUCCAAUCAGCAACCGGCAUUUUACCCUUAAUAAUUUCCUCUAUGCUAUACCUACUAGCAUCUUCAAUAGACUUCAUCUAACUCUCCAAAAAGUCCACCGUAGCAGGCACCGGGAACCUCUCACUAUUAGGAAAAGGCCUACUAGUGGCGCACCUGUUUUGCGUACUAAUGAUGCACUACAGGUGCGCCACUAGUAUCACGCCAUUAGUAUUUUUUACUAAUGGCGCACUUGUGAUGCGCCAUUAGUAUCUGGUAUACUAGUGGCGCACCAUGCAGUGCGCCAUUAGUAUAGCCCACGGUGCGCCAUUAGUAUGCCUCCCAUGGGGCCAUAUUUACCCAUGUGCUUUGGCAUACUAAUGGCGCACUAGUGGAUGAUGCGCCAUUAGAGUCCUUUUUGCAGUGCGCCAUUAGUGUGCUGAGUGGUGCGCCACUAGUAUGAAUAUUACAGAUUUUUUUCUUUUCUAAUAUUUGCACAGGUUACAAAACAUAUUACUGCACAUAAUAUAGAGAGCAAAACAUAUAAAUAGCAGAUCCAUCGAAUACAAUAAAAGAUUAGUCUCCGAAUACAACUCAUCAUAUUAGUCUUCGAAUUCAAAAGACCGAACAAAGAUAGAACAUUACAAGUCUCGAGACCGCAAGUAGCGAGUUUGUCGGAAGUAAUACUAAUCCUAACAAGUCCUACUAAUCAUCAUCAUACAACUUCUACUCGUUAUUAAUAACAAGUCAUAUGAUCAUCAUCUUGAUAGUCAUCGAACCAACCCUACUUAAUUGUUCUUAGCACAUGAUCAUCAGUAUUAGGCAGGAUCUAAAUACCCUAUUUAAGGUAAAAUAGCAUAAAACAAUAUAGACCCUGACUCUCCAUUAUGGAGAAUGGAGAUCAUUCUGUCUCCAAUUCUUGCGCUUCGCUUCCUUUUGCUUCCAAGAACCUCCUUACGACUGUCCAUACAUUUUUUCCAUCCUUUGAUUUGCAUGUCUCCACUUCUUUUAGAAAUCUGGUAUGGAUAGUUGAGAUUCGUAGGAUGACCUGGCUGUAUGUUCAAAACAUUAAGGCUACGUUUCUGAUACAUCAAAUGAGGUACACAAUUCUCUGGGAUUAUCUGUUGAAAAACAUAGUAAUAACUUCAUAGUUAGCAAUGAUGUACUAGUUUUAGAAGUAUGCAAAAGAUGCACGGAUGUCAUAAUAGUAAAAAAUCUUACCAGGGUAUCUCCAUGGUAGUUACUGUAGUUGAACAGAUGCACUAGUGGCAAGUAUUGACCAUAAUGUUGAGGAGUUUGAUUGUAGACAUUGUAAUUCUCAAUGUCAGUACAAAAUCCGACCAGAUGAGUUUUCUCCUUGUAAGUUGUUAAUUCGGAGCCAUCGGUGUAGUGGGUUUUGUCUACCAUCUCCCGCACAUUCUUUGAACAAUGAAAAUAAGCUGUCAACUAUUUUGAAAUAAACAAUUUAAAUUAGCUAAUAACUAUGUUUGAGAAACUCACAUAGCGGUAGAAUUGGAGGCGUAUCAACAAGGACCCAAAUGUGCAUAUUGUCUUGCUUGAUUUUAGGAUCACCAUGAUUCAUGGUGACAAGCAUACCCUCAUCAAAACCAUACAUCUUGCAAAAUGCUUCCCAAUUUUUGCAACCAAAAUGGGGUACGCUCCCAGAAUUAUACAGAUUUACUUCAACAUCCACAUCGUGAUGAGUCCUUAGGUGAAUUUUCUUUGUUUCAGAAAUUUCAUGGUCUUCAAAAUCCAUCCUCUCCAAGACAUAGCGUCUUGCAUGUCAUGGGAUAAGCUAUACUCGAAUUGUAAAAGAUGAAAAUUACACGUUGAAAUAGUUGAAGUCAUGCUUAAUUAUGAAAAUAACACUUGUCGUCGUUGUGUACCAUUUCAACUUCGAAGGUCUCCUCGAGCUUAAUGCUGAAGCGCCGAUCAUCGUCCAGGUGAGGCAUGUCGCAUAGACCUCGAUCGUCGUGGCACCAGCCGCACUCCCCCGGGAGACUUUCGUCGUCCGAUGACGACAUAUCCUACGUUCAUAAUUCAAAACUACAUCAUCUCUUGCGUUGGGUCCAAUAAGAUAAUCCACAGUGUGGUGAAAACACGCCCUUCGAACUGGUUUGAGCUAUUGGUGAAUGGAGAUGGUCUAAGAUUUUAGUAGUAAGAAGUGAAGUGGUAAUUUUGAGAGCAAAUGGUUAGGAUGAGUGGUUCCUCUUUCCUGUUUAGCUUUACAAUAGAAUAUUGUUAGUCAUGCACACUUGUGCAUUUUCAGCCAGGUCCAGUGGGGUUGGCCUAAAAACAUUUCUUUCUUUAAGCCUGCUACAUCCAUCUCAAGUAUUUAUGGUCAAGGGUUAGCAGGGCCAUCCAAAUAGAAUAUGUGGUAUGGGCUUUUUUAGUAGGUCAUCCUACCAGAUUAGGGUUUAUCGAUGACGAGCAACUGACAUUAGUAAUAACUAUGAGUUUAUAUCACACUUCUAUAUGUAUAACACAAGAGGCAGUUGAUCCUACUUAAUUAAGUACUAAGAUACCCCGGCCCAUGCAUUAGUCGCAAGUACCCCAUAUGCCCUAUUUUUAGCAAAGUCAUGCUAAAAUUCACAGAAAAUUUCAGCAUGACCUUUGCUGAAAAUAGGACAUAUGGAGUACCCAAAUUUGCCGGAACGGAAGUUAAUCGACAUUCUGGCAAACUCAAGGGCCUCUCGGGGUACCUGCAAAAUCAUCACGACACGAUUGGUCGGAGACAAAACCCAGCAAAGUUACUAACGUGUUUACAGAAAUUGUUUUCUGUAAAAGAUGAUCAUCAUCUUUACAAGUCUUUCUCAAUGUGAUCACAGAAACAAAGCAGCACCACAAUGUGCCUCUACUUUCAUAUGGAUGAAAAGGCCACAGACCAUAUGGUCCUCUGCUUUCAUAUGGACAAAAUAAAAGUUCACAUAUAUAAAUGGAAAUGAAAAAGGAUAGUAGGAAAUGAAAAAGAAUUAUGCUCAAAGAACAAUGGUAACAGCAAAGAUGAUAAGUAUAUUUGAAACAAGAAAACAAUACAUGCAUAGGCUAUAUUUGAAACAAGAUAUUCUGCCAAUCUUUGUUAACUAAAGCUAAGAUGAUAAGUAUAUCUAGAGUGCAUUAGCUAUGGUUCUUAUCUAGUUAAAAUAAAAGGAGAAAAUUGCUUAUUUACACCUCACAAAUAUUUUGGCUUGCUGAUCUAGGGUAGAAGACAUUUUUGUCAUCGGUGCUAGUCAGAUCUGAACCUUACAUCAAAUACACUUCUCAAUGUUCACUGAAAUUUAGAGAAUAGAUUGAGAGAGAUAGCAGCAGCAAGAAGUUGAGGUUUAGACUCUGAAGAGGAACAACAGUGGUGCAAGGAGAUGGAGUAGAAGCAGUAGAGAGCGGCAGCAAGCAGUAGAGAGCGGCGGCGCAGCAUCUCCAAAAAGAGACACCUCUCAGCACAUCAGCAUCAGCAUCCAGGGAGGAGCUGCAUGACACCAUCUCCAAAAACAGACCACCACAAAGCCAGAAUGGUUUGCUUUCUUACUCUUAUCACUCCUCCUUUUAACACAACCAGAAAACUACCACCACCUAAAUAACAAACACCUCCUUGGAUAUGCUAAAACCACAAAAUGAUCACGGCAGUGUGUUUGUGGCAUCCGUGCAUGUGCCAAGAUAUGCUAAAACUUAGCUCAGCAACCAACAGAAAGUAACUUAGCCCAAGAACAAGCUUUGUGAAAACCAAUAAGUCACACAUUAUGUCGAUUCAACAACUACAUUGGGAACUAUUACAAAAACUGAGAAAACAUUAUGCAUGCUGUCUAAAACUUAGCUCAGCAACCAACAGAAAGUAACUUAGCCCAAGAACAAGCUUUGUGAAAACCAAUAAGUCACACAUUAUGUCGAUUCAACAACUACAUUGGGAACUAUUACAAAAACUGAGAAAACAUUAUGCAUGUUGUCUGAACAUGUACAUUGAAGAAUGAAAAACAACUAUCUGGUGAGGGCUCUUUUGCUCUGAAUUCAUUGAAGAAUGACAAACAACUAUCUGGCCAUUAGCAGCAGCAGUAGCUAGGGGCAGUAGGCAACACUAUCAAAGAAGCAGCGGCGCAACAAGCAAGAGCGGCAGCAGUGCAAGAGCGGCGACGACGGCAAGAGCAGCAGGAAUCAAAAGCAGCAGCGGCAGCGGCGCUAUAGGCAGAAGCAGUAGCAGGCGAGCAGCAGAAGCAGAGUAGCAGCAACGGUGCGGUCGGUUGCGGGCGACGACAGGCACGUGGGGGCGCGGUGCAGCAGCGGCAGCAUGUUAGCAGUGAGCUCGGGGACGGCAAAUGACGACGAAUCGAGGCGAAGUAAAGGGGGAUCCAGAGGAGAAGCUCACCACGAAGCCGUGUACGUGGUCGGGGAGGCCGGGGACGGACCAGAGCGAGACGGGGCCGGGGACAUGGUCGACGUGGUCGGGGAGGACGACGGUGAUGUACAACAACGGGGCCACGCACAGGAAGAGAUGGCGAGAGGUGGCUGCUGCUCCUCGGCGAGGUGGACGGGCUGCUGCUUCUUCUUGUCGGUGGGGGGUCGGCGGCNNNNNNNNNNNNNNNNNNNNNNNNNNNNNNNNNNNNNNNNNNNNNNNNNNNNNNNNNNNNNNNNNNNNNNNNNNNNNNNNNNNNNNNNNNNNNNNNNNNNNNNNNNNNNNNNNNNNNNNNNNNNNNNNNNNNNNNNNNNNNNNNNNNNNNNNNNNNNNNNNNNNNNNNNNNNNNNNNNNNNNNNNNNNNNNNNNNNNNNNNNNNNNNNNNNNNNNNNNNNNNNNNNNNNNNNNNNNNNNNNNNNNNNNNNNNNNNNNNNNNNNNNNNNNNNNNNNNNNNNNNNNNNNNNNNNNNNNNNNNNNNNNNNNNNNNNNNNNNNNNNNNNNNNNNNNNNNNNNNNNNNNNNNNNNNNNNNNNNNNUUGUGAAUUGGUAAAACAUUUAUGAAUGUGAAAAAAUAUCAUCAAAUUUGAAAAAAUAUUAAAAAGUUCAAUCGGCGGCAGUGGUGGAGCGAGGGAGGGUGCGGUGGGUCGUCAGCGGCGGUGGAGCGGGGGGUGGUGCGGGGGGUGCUCGGCGGCGAGGGGGAUCUGGCGAGGGGGAUAUCGAUCGAGAUGGAGGGGGAUCGAGAUCGAGUGUCUUCAUGAAUAUUCAAUAUUUUUUCAUAUUGAAUAUGAAAAAAUAUCAUCAAAUUUGAAAAAAUAUUCAUGAAUUCAAAAAGUGCCCAUGAAAUUUAAAAAUAUUCAUGAGUUCAAAAAGUACCCAUGAAAUACAAUCGAGAAAUGAAGACUAUGAUUUAAAUACAAUCGAUCUUAGCUAGCUAUCUUUUCACAAUCUUCUUGCCCUUCUUUUUCGCAAAUGGAGUUUUUCUGUUGAACGGACAUCCUUUAGGUAGGGUGGUCCUGCUUCUUCUUGUGGUGUAUGGCACUUCAUCGUCAUCGUCAUGUUCCAUCUGCGGGUCGCCGUACUUGUCGAAGUCUUGCUCAUUGGCGACUCCAUCCAUUCCGAUGAUCUUCCUUUUGCCUCUCCUCACGACAACACAACUGGGCUUUGACGGGUCGGUGAUGAAGAAGCAUUGUUCCACUUGGGAAGCUAGUACCCAUGGCUCAUUUUUCGCGGUGACGUUUGCGCCCACGGUCUUGGAUUUGACUACGGGUAUAACCAUGGUGGUGAAAUACCGGUCUUCUUUUAGGACGCUCUUGGCCCAUCUGACACGGAACAUCGGGAUCUUCUCUCCAGCGUAGCUCAGCUCCGAGAUCUCCUUGAUCCUUCUGUAGUAUCUAUCCUUGUCAUUACCGGUGUAGGAUUCCAUCGUUACCCCGGAGUUCUGAUAACCAUCGCUCUUCAUGUCCUUGUCCUCGGUGUAGAAUGUGUAGCCGUUGAUAUCGUAAGCCUCAUAGGUCAUCAGGUUGUGCUCGGCACCCUGUGACAAGGCGAAUAUGAGUUUUUCUUCCGCGGAAGAAUCCUCAUGUAAAGGGUACGACAGAAGCUUCUCCUUGAACCAACGCGUGAAACAUGAGUUGUGCUCUUUGAUUAUAUCUCCUUCCAUCCUCUGUUGGCCUCGGUCAUUGUACGUCUUCUCAAUAAAGGUUUUGAGCUCUACCACCCAAGGAUCGACCACGUCUAUGUGUUGUAGCGCGACUAGGUUUGCUCUUUCAAAGUCGGCGAGUCGACCCUCGAAGUCGACAUGCAUUUCACGGCGACCCUCGCGGUGACCCCAUCCAGCGAGCCUACCGAGAUGCCUAUUGACGGGCAGACCAACGGGGUUCUCGAUGCCUAGAUAAUUCGUGUAGUAGGAGAUGCACUCUUCGGUUAGAAAGCCCCUGGCUAUGCUUCCCUCUGGACGUGACAUGUUGCGAACAUAUCCUUUGAUGACACCAUUCAUUCUUUCGAACGGCAUCAUGAUGUGCAGGAAUGUCGACCCGAGUUGGAUGAUAUCCUCCACGAUAUGGACCAGCAGAUGCACCAUAACGUCGAAGAAUGCGGGCGGGAAGUACAUCUCAAGCUCGCAUAGUAUCACCACGAUCUCUUCAUGUAGCCUUCUGAGUUGCCUCACGCCAACCGACUUCCGAGAGAUGACGUCGAAAAAGUUGCAUAGGCCAAAUAGCGUUUCACGGACAUGCGCAUCUAUGAUUCCACGGAUUGCAACUGGAAGUAUCUUCAUCAUCAACACGUGACAGUCGUGAGACUUCAUCCCGCUAAACUUCUGCUUCGCUGGGUCUAGGUUUCUGCUUAUCUUCCCCGCGUAACCGUAAGGAAGUUUUACUCCUAUGAGGUAGGUGAAAAACUGCUCGAUCUACUCCUGACUUAGAGUGAAGCACGCGGGAGGGUAGUCAUUUCCGGUCUUCUUGGCCUUUUUGCCUUUGCAACGAAUUUCCGUGUCCUUCAAGUCUGCCCUUGCUUUCGGCCCAUCUUUGGUCCUCUUUGGCAUGUUGAGCAGGGUACCAAGCAGACUCUCGCACAUGUUCUUCGUGAUAUGCAUGACAUCAAGGCUGUGAGGCACACGAUGGAUCUUCUAGUACGGCAAGUCCCAGAAAACAGACCUCGUUUCCAUACCUUUAGUAGCAGCUCUGGCGCCUUUCGCUUCUUUCCCGGCUCUGGCGCCUUUUGCUUCUUUCUCGGCAGUGGGCAAUCUUUCUAAUUUUUCAACAGCUCGUCUAUUUCCUCGCCGCUCCUCGUACGCGGGCGUCUUCGGGGUUCGGUUUCACCAUCGAACAGAUCCUUGCAUUUUCUCCAUGGGUCAUCGCCGCGAAGCCACCUUCGAUGUCCCAUGAACACGGUUUUCGAAAACCCGGGAUCUCUAUCUAGCUGGCGGUACGUUGUGUCAUCCAUGCACCUGACGCAUCCAGAAAAUCCGUGGACCACCUACCCAGCGACAUAUCCGUAACCGAGAUAGUCGUGCACCGUCGUGAGCAGUGCGGCUCUCAUAGGGAAAUAUUCUUUCUCUGCGGCGUCCCACAUAUUGGCUGGCGUUUUCCACAGUGUGUCUAGCUCCUCUUUCAGCAACCCCAGAUACAGAUUGAUGUCGUUCCCUGGUUGUUUCGGCCCUUCAAUUAGCAUACUCAUGUGAAUGUACUUCCUCUUCAUGCACAACCAGGGGGGAAGGUUGUACAUCCACACAAACACAGGCCAGGUGCUAUGUGUGCUUCCCUGGCUGCCAAACGGAUUGACUUCAUCGGUGCUCGCGCCAAGCACGAUGUUCCUUGGAUCUUCCCCAAAUUCUGGGUGUUCGAAGUUCAAUGCUUGCCACUGGCUCGCAUCCUUAGGGUGACUCAGCAUCUUGCCUUUUUUAUUUAUCUCCAGAUCAUUUCCGUCAUCUUCUCGCUUCUUCUCCUCCCUAUCUGCGUGCCAACGCAGGAGCUUUGCUAGCUUAGGGUCCGCGAAAUACCGCUGCAGACGAGGAGUGAUCGGAAAGUACCACACCACUUUUCGAGGAGCUUUCUUCCUCUUCUUGUAUCGAGUGACGCCGCACACCGGACAUAUGGUAGUCUCCGCGUGCUCGUCCCGAUAAAUGAUGCAAUUGUUCAUGCACACAUGGUAUUUCAUGUGCGGUAAAUCCAGAGGACACACGAUUUUCUUUGCCUCCUCGAAACUGGUCGGGCACUUGUUCCCCUUGGGAAGACGUUCGUGCCAGAAUGACAUGUUCUCGUCGAAGCAUGCGUCGGUCAUUUUGUGUUUUACCUUUAUCUCCAGAGCCAUAAGCGUUACUUUCAGGCGGGUAUCCUCGGGCCUGCAUCCUUCAUACAAUGGAGUAACUGCGUCUAUCUCCAGUUGAUCCAGCUUGGCUUUCUCUCGGGCAGCAACUCUUGCGUUAUCCGUCUGCUUGAGAAGCAGCUCUUGAAUAUGAGGGUCCUGCACCCAGCCUCCAUCGUCGUCUGCUCCGGCAUCUUCAUCUUCAUGAUCAUGCCCUUCGUCUUGAUCUUCCUCAUCAUCAUGUCCGGCAUCUUCUACAUGAUGACUGUGUACAGCAUCACCUCGUGAUCAUGUCCUGGAGAUUCUUUGUCUUCUCGCCCGCCCUCGCCGCGGUGGUUGUCUUCCUCAUUUCUUGCCCGGCCCCCAUGGACGACUUCAUAGUCAUCUUCAUUACAUUGCCACCGAUAGCCAUCCAUAAAACCACACAAGAGCAGGUGGUCCCGCACCUGCCCGGAAUCCGGGUCUGCAAUAAGGCUCUUCAGCUUGCAUCUUCAACACGGACAUCUUAUCUCCGUCUCGUUUUUUUGAAGCAUCUCGGCCUUCGCGGAGUUCAAAAACCUAUUCACGAUGCCUUCGGUCAUCGUGCGGACCAUGGUCGCCUGCGGGGUAGAGUAAAACGAUAUUUUAGAACCAAGAAAAAAUUUGGCACGACUUUCCCUAAAAAUAGGACCAGAAAGAAUGCAUAGUGCCAAAAUUCUCGCCGAAACGGAAAUGAAUCAACAUUUCGGCAAAAUAUUGGCAACUAUCGCAUUUCAAAUACCGGUACCUGCAAACACAAACAUAUAUGCAAACACAAACAUAUGCAACACCACAAACAUACAUAGAUCUAGUUAGGCCAUAAAAAGUGCAUGUGCACGUUGUUGGAGGGAGAAAAAAAUAGAUCUACAACAUAAAGAUAGCUUUCCCCUUACUUAUAAAAAAGUAAUUUAACCACUUAAUUUGGAUGAAUCUAUGGUGCAAAUGAGGUGAGGAGAAGGAGGCAGCUGAGACAAGCUUGGAGGAGGAGGUGGAGAGAAUGAAGUGGGGAAAGUGAGUGUGUAGGUGUGGCUGUCCAAAAUAUCUAGCUGGUCUCAGAUUACUAAUGGCGUACCACCCACAAAUGCGCCAUUAAUAACCCUGGUUACUAAUGACACACUAGAUUGUGAUGCGCCAUUAGUAGUUUUGUAAAAAAGAAUGAUAGUAGUGGCGCACGUGGUGAGUGAUGCGCCAUUACUAGUUAAACUAGUAAUGGCGCACUGUUUCCUGGGGGCGCCAUUAGUAUUUUUGAAAAAAAAAUGUUAAUAGUGGCGCACCAUUGGUGUGGUGCGCCAUUAGUGUGAUAGACACUAAUGACGCACCAGCACAUGAUGCGCCACUGCUAUAUAGUAGUGGCGCAUUACAUGUCUGGUGCGCCAUUAGUGUUCAUAUUAUCUAUAGCCAUUUUUCUAAUAGUGUCUUUAUCAUAAGUAAGAUCAUACUUGCACCUACCGAAAUCCCAAUACGUGUUUUUUGUUACGAGGACAGACGAGAGCUGAUUGAGAGGAGUAAAAUAAUUCGUUCCGGUGCUCGGUCAAGGACGGAUUCCCCGCCCCCGGUGUUCCUCUAGAAAGACAACACUACGGAGAGCAAAAUACGUAGACUAGUCUGUGCAGCCGUCAUGCAUGGUAGACGCAUCAAACUACGGUCGAUGGUUGAACGUUGCUGCGGUUCCAUUAGUACCAGCAGCAGCAUCACGCUGGUUGUGGAAAGUGGCUCAUUAACUCGGUUGGUUGCACUUGUACUGGACCAAGUGUGUGUCCAUCACACGCGUGCUAGCAUCACCACGAGCACUAAACUAGGAACGCAAUUCCAUCCGCUCGACCGCUCUGCAUAUACGACGUUGACACAGGUCGCUCGAGUGGCAUGCGUCAAGUUACUUACUCAUCCUCUUGCUUCGCAGCUAAGUACUCACGAAAACAGUACUGUAGUAGAAUUUCCCUGGAUUUAUCAGAUAAGUCGUGUCAAUGCAAUGGCCCAAGACGAAGUCACAAAGGGCAUGCAUAAAAGGACAAGACCUGCUGUCGGUAAAGGGAGCACACAUAUGCAUUUCAUGAGAGGAAAUAGCUCCACAGAAAGAUGAGAGUGAAUAAUGUGAGUAGUUGGGAGCAUAUGCUUCCAGAUGAACAGUAAAUUUAAAAUAAAUAGUAAUAAAAUUUUAAAUUUUUUUCGCGUAGAUGGUUAUGUUAGUGUAACAAGCGUGCUUGACAAUUUUUGUGCGAAAUGGAAUAGCAUUGCUUCGUCGGUGAAAAACAAAAUUAAGUGUAACAUUUGGAGGUUGUUUUUUGUUUGUUUGCACUUGUCAGAAUGCUUAAGCUUUUCCCCUAAAAAUUUGUAGGUAUCAUUUGAAUGUGACAAUGAACACACCAGUUUUAUUUAAAUGACAUUUGCAAAAUACAUUGUGGCGCGCAGAAGCAUAUGCUCCCAAGAGCCAAACUGGAUUUCCGGUGAAUACUAGUCUAUGAUGUAUGUUACUGAAAAAGGCAUUCGUCUCCCCAAGCAUACCAUAACCAUUACAACAAAAAGUAAAAAAGGACAAAGAUACAUGAUACCGAACGAGCCACUGGCAAGCUCUGAAUGCAACAAGAAUAAGCUUGGGCAUCAAGGCUCUGGGCGAAUCAAGAUCUUGUUACCGACAUGACCAAGAAAAGGUAGCAGCCCGCUGCCGGAGAAAAAUCAUGCUCCGUCAACUCCCAUGAGGCCAACCAUAGUUGUUUCGCCGUCCUUGUAUGUCUCUGAAUAAGGCCCCCCUGCCCUCUAGUCUUGGAUCGGAGGACACCAAGCCGUCGGUAGAUAGAACCGCUCCCCUGAGCUCGUAUGACCUGGACCAACAUGUUGCCAGGGAGAGGAUGACCGGCACGUCUACCUCACCUUGCAAAGCAACACCCUGUACAUCGUCGCCGCCUCCAGCAAGGUUCAACGUCAACCGCAAGCAGCCGAGUAGGAGCAUUUCUAUAGCUCAUAGCAAUCAACCUCCAACUUCGAAGCCCCGACCAUCACUCCACAGUCCCAAGGUGGCGUCUUCAAGAAGUAAAACGCUGCCAGAGCGUCGUUGCCAUCCAAUCCGGAGAUUUUGGGUUUUCACCCGGGACUCGGAGGUGGAGGGAAAGGGUAAGAUCUCGAUGCCGCCUACAGGAAGGGGAACAAUGCUUGGAGCGCCAACGGCAUCAUGGCCAUUACAACCGACCAAGGGAUUCUCCCAAUCCGUAGCCCCCAACCCCUCCAUUCCCAACUAGUCACCGGACCUGACCAAACGGAGGUCGCUGGCAUCAUGGGCCCACGAGGAAGGAAGAGGAUCGAGGAAGGAGACCACCUUCUCUAGUUCAGCUCCAAGGACCGAUAAAGAGGCCCCAUGAACAUUCUAGACUCGAUACCGACCUGUAGCCCGUGGGCGCACCUUUGCAUCAAUGCCCUUCACCCGCCACUGGGUAGAAUGCUCCAUCCCACCUAUUGCCUCUGCCACAUCUUCGGGCGCUCCACAUGCAACCCCCCACCACCAUGGAGCCCUUCACAACACCGUCAGACACCGGCGCCGUCGCCACCGCCCAGCGCAGCAUCGUUGCGCCCUCUAGCAGCAUAACGCCACCGCCCGACCUCACCAGGUUGCGCCGACCGCCAUCGGUAAGGGGAAGAGAGGCCCUGCCGGCACCGAUACUGCCAGGGCAUCGAUCAAGGCGAGCCGAUAGGGGUGAGGGGAGGGAAGGAGGGGAAUGGGAGAGCUAAGCCGACAGCUAGGGUUUCCCCUCUGAGUCGCUCGCAGGAGCGACACGAGAGGGGGGAGGGGAUGAUUUGUUGGGGGUGCUCCUUUACAAUGUUAUGUUCUCGUGGCUUUUUUGAACAAAAGAGUUGUAAAUACCAACUAAUCAUAUUGAAAAAUGCUUUCGCCCUGCUUUAUAUUAAAUCAACAGCCGACAUCCAUCCCGACGCAAACAACCACUACCACACCAACACAACACAUACCUCAAGGCAAGAUACAGGUACCACAGAUCAACCACCUCAUCCCAUAACUCCAAGUAGACAACAAAUGGACUUUAAUCAAUACUAUGGAGUCGACGAGGCCCUAACCUGUGAAAAGCCAUCGCAAAAAGGUGAAGUUGAACGUACAUGAACCAUGAGUUCCAAUGGGGUGCCUUCUAGAAUAUCAUGACAUCGGAGCGCUAUCAAGAUUUUCUCCUGGAGCACGACGAAGGACAAGGAGAAACAAUGACAAACACUUCAAGAAGUGGACAAUGUGCAUGGACGCCGACUCUAUCGUCCUGGUGUAGGAUCUAGAAGUAGGUGUGUCUAGAGGGGGGUGAUUAGACACUUAGUGCUAAAGUUGCAAUUUUUAAUCUUUUUCGGUUUGAGUGGAGUUUUAGGCACAAUUUCAACAUGCACAAUACAUAUCAAGCAAGCAUGCAAAGAGUAUAUGAGCAGCGGAAUGUAAAGCACGCAACUUGCAAGAAUGUAAGGGGAAGGGUUUGGAGAAUUCAAACGUAACUGGAGACACGGAUGUUUUUCCUGUGGUUCGGAUAGGUGGUGCUAUCCUACAUCCACGUUGAUGGAGACUUCAACCCACGAAGGGUAACGGUUGCGCGAGUCCACGGAGGGCUCCACCCACGGAGGGUCCAUGAAGAAGCAACCACCCACGAAGGGUAACGGUUGCGCGAGUCCACGGAGGGCUCCACCCACGAAGGGUCCACGAAGAAGCAACCUUGUCUAUCCCACCAUGGCCAUUGCCCACGAAGGACUUGCCUCACUAGCGGUAGAUCUUCACGAAGUAGGCGAUCUCCUUGCCCUUACAAACUCCUUGGUUCAACUCCACAAUCUUGUCGGAGGCUCCCAAGUGACACCUAGCCAAUCUAGGAGACACCACUCUCCAAGAAGUAACAAAUGGUGUGUUGAUGAUGAACUCCUUGCUCUUGUGCUUCAAAUGAUAGUCUCCCCAACACUCAACUCUCUCUCACAGGAUUUGGAUUUGGUGGAAAGAAGAUUUGAGUGGAAAGCAACUUGGGAAAGGCUAGAGAUCAAGAUUCAUAUGGUAGGAAUGGAAUAUCUUGGCCUCAACACAUGAGUAGGUGGUUCUUUCUCAGAACAUAUGAGUUGGAAGUGUAGAUGUGUUCUGAUGGCUCUCUCCAUGAAUGAAGAGGAGGUGGAGGGGUAUAUAUAGCCUCCACACAAAAUCCAACCGUUACAUACAAUUUACCAAUCUCGGUGAGACCGAAUCAACAAACUCGGUCAGACCGAAAUAGUAAACCUAGUGACCGUUAGAGAUUUUCGGUGGGACCGACUGGAUCAACUUGGUGGGACCGAUGUGCUAGGGUUAGGGUAAAUCCAAAACUCGGUUUGACCGAUUACUCAAACUCGGUGGGACCGAUUUGGGUAAUAAGCAAAACAGAGAGUUGGCCAAGCAAACUCGGUGGGGCCGAUUGCAUAUCUCGGUGGGACCGAAAAUAUUGCAAUAGGUAACAGAGAGUUUGCAAGCCCAUCUCGGUGAGACCGAGAUCCCAUCAGUGAGACCGAACUGAUUAGGGUUUCUGGCAGUGGCUAUGACAAGUGAAACUCGGUGGCGCCGGAUAGAAAGAAUCGGUAGGUCCGAGUUUGGCUCUGGGUUUAGGUCAUAUGAGGAAGUGGGAAAGUAGCUGAGGGUUUUGGAGCAUAUCAUUAAGCACAUGAAGCAAGAGGCUCAUUAAGCAACACCUCAUCCCUCCUUGAUAGUAUUGGCUUUUCCUAUGGACUCAAUGUGAUCUUGGAUCACUAAAAUGUAAAAUGAAGAGUCUUGAGCUUUAAGCUUUAGCCAAUCCUUUGUCCUUAGCAUCUUGGAGAACUUCCCACAACCUUUAGUCCAUGCCACUCCAUUGUUGAACUUAUCUGAAACAUACUAGAUAGAAAUGUUAGUCCAAUAAGAGAUAUGUUGUCAUUAAUUACCAAAACCACCUAGGGAGCACUUGUGCUUUCAAUCUCCCUCUUUUUGGUAAUUGAUGGCAACAUACAUCAAAGCUUUAGAUCAAGAUAUAAAGAACAGCAAGUAAAGCUUUGGAAGGACAUGUAACAAGCAUAGGCUCCCCCUACAUGUAUGCACUCAUGUAAAUAUGAAAUAUAAAGGCAUGUGAGAGCAUAACCAUGACAGAGUAGGCAAUGUGUUACAUGUAUCUUGGCCAUAUGCAUCAGAGCAAAAGCUUAUCAAGGAAAAUACCUUCAUGCUCAUGAGUCCUUCUUGCAAACAGUAUGUACAUAAGCAAGAAUUCCUCAUACUCAUGAUUUUGAUGCAUACACUUACCUUGUAGUCUUUGGUUGGCUUAGGAUGGAAUGAACCUGCACAAACAAAGUUAGAUAACACAGGUACCUCCACUAGCUAGAGCAAACCAAGGAAGCCACAAGAGAACCAAGACUGGGAUGACAUGUAGAGAGUGAGUACAAGGUACCACAUUGGAUUCAACAUGUCCCCAAGAGUAAAGAUAUGAAAUGAAUUUGACUGAUUUCUUUCCCUUAGGUGUCUUGCUCCCCCUGAAUCUUACAUGGGAUAUUGGGAGAAGAUAGGGAACAGAAAAUCAGAGCUGAAAGAUACAAAUGGAUAGGACUUAAUGCAAAUAAGCACAUAUGAACAUGUCUUUCCCCCAAAAAGACAUGUGACAUCUCUCCUCUUAAACAUCAAGCAUCUGGGACAUCCGAGAUCCUUGAGUAUUCUCUCCCCCUGGAAAUCUCUUUCUCCCCCUUAAUACUUUCUCUCUUGUAGGUUUGGUCCUUGAGACUUUCUCUCCCCCUUGAGCUUUGAUGUGAUCUCUCUCUCCCCCUUUGACAUCAAUUUCCAAGAAGGGCUUUCUGGAAUCCGUCGUAUAGGUUUGGUCCUAGAGACUCAGCAUAAAGCAAUGGAUAAAACUAUGAUGCUUGUAGAGGACAAGAUUCAUUGAGUAGAGCUGGAUCAGAAGAAAUAUAGAACAAGUGGCAAACUGUUUUUCCUAUUGUGAAGUCGGUGGCACCGAGUGGCAUGUUUCGGUGGUACCGAAAAGAUUUGGUUGGACCGAAAAUUACAAGUCGGUGAAACCGAGUUCACACAGAGAAAACACUUGUCACCUCAGCUCACUAGACAUGUAGGAUCUCACAAAGAUUUGCAAUGAAUUACCUGAAGGAUUUGCAAGGAAUUGAAUGCAGAAAAUGCAGAACAAAAAGAAAAAGAAAAAAGAAGAAACUGAAAGAUCUAGAUGAAGUUUUUUUGAAAAAGAGAAAGAAAAUAAACAUGCAUGAGACAAAUGCAAUAACACAGAAAAGAACACAAGAGAACUUCAUCUAGAGUUGGGCGGUGACAUAGUCACCUAUGUUAGAGUAUAUUGACUUAGGAGUCAAGUGAGAACACUUGAUCAUAGGUCAUACUCAUCGUUUAAGCUCAAAAUGGGGUUACCAUUUUUUGUUUAAGCAUCUUGAUGUAUUCACAUCUUGUUGAGUUGCUUUGACUCAUGUCUUCGAGUAAAGCUUCUCUAAGAUGGAAUAACAUACAUUGGGUGGUGGUGUGGUUCUUGCUCGUGUAGUUGAACUUGUGUGGGUGCUCAAGGUUGAUGUAGCUCAUCAAGAGUUGGGAGCACCACUUGGAGUUUGAGUUCAUCUACCUACAUGGGUUAGUUCUUGCAAGAAAGAGCACUUGUGUAUCCAAAAAUGACAAUCAUGAAGCUCAACAUAGAAUUUGUCAAAGGAUAUGUUUGAAUGGUUUUGGUAAGCUUCCUUGUCUUCAACCACCAUUGUGUAGAGACUUGGUGAUGUAGAGAUUGCUCAAGAUGUGAGUGAGUCGCAAUCUCAUGGAAUUAGAUUCAACCAAGCACCUACAUGUGUUAGACAACAUGCAAGGUACAAAUAUAUCCAAGACAUAAGAUAGUCAUCAUAAGAGAUAUAUCAUGGAUUAGUCAUAAGCUCAUGUCUUGCAUGUAUCCAAUGGAGUUUCUACUCCAAGUUCGAAGCAUCAAUGAUGUUCAAUUCUCCUCUCAACCUGCAAAACACUUUCUCAUCAAGUGGUUUAGUGAAUAUAUCCGCUAAUUGCUUAUCGAUGCGAACAUGCUUAAGAUCAAUGUCACCCUUAGCAACAUGAUCUCGAAUGAAAUGAUGAUGAACUUCAAUAUGCUUUGUUCGAGAAUGUUGUACAGGAUUAUGACCAAUUUUGAUAGCACUUUCAUUGUCACAAAGCAGGGGAACAUGUUUCACAUAGAUCCCAUAAUCUUUAAGAGUUUGGGUCAUCCAAAGUAAUUGAGCACAACAUGAACCAGCGGCAAUGUAUUCCGCUUCGGCGGUGGAUAAGGAUACCGAGUUUUGUUUCUUGGAAGACCAAGACACAAGAGAUCUACCAAGAAAUUGACAAGUACCCGAAGUGGACUUUCUAUCAACCUUAUCUCCGGCAUAAUCCGAGUCGGAAUAGACAACAAGAUCAAAAGAGGACCUCUUAGGAUACCAAAUGCCAAACUUUGGUGUAUGGAUUAAGUAUCUCACUAUCCUUUUCACGGCCUUAAGAUGACAUUCUUUAGGAGCAGCUUGAUAUCGUGCACACAUGCACACACUUAGCAUAAUAUCGGGACGUGAAGCACAUAGGUAUAGCAAUGAACCAAUCAUAGAGCGAUAAACCUUUUGAUCAACCGGUUCAUCAUCUUUGGUCAAAUCAUUAUGUCCACUAGUAGGCAUGGGUGUAGGCAUACCUUUUCAUUCUUGCAUAUUGAACUUCCUGAAUAAGUCCUUGGUGUACUUCAUUUGAGAGACAAAUGUACCUUCCUUAGUUUGCUUGAUUUGCAAACCGAGAAAGAAUUUGAGUUCACUCAUCAUAGACAUCUCAAACUUCUCUGACAUUAGCUUUCCAAACUUUUCACUAAAGAGAGGGUUAGUUGAACCAAAUAUGAUAUCAUCAACAUAAAUUUGGCAUACAAAUAGUUCUCCAUUAACCCUUUUAGUAAAAAGAGUAGAAUCAAUUUUACCAAUUUCAAAACCACUUGCAAUAAGGAACUUGGUCAAGCAUUUAUACCAUGCUCUAGGAGCUUGUUUAAGACCAUAAAGAGCUUUGUGAAGUUUGUAAACAUGAUUAGGUUUCUUAGGAUUGACAAAGCCGGGAGGUUGUUUGACAUAAACUUCCUCCUCUAUUUCACCAUUUAGAAAAGCACUUUUAAUGUCCAUUUGGUACAAGGUGAUAUUAUGGUGAUUAGCAUAGGCAAGUAAGAUGCGAAUGGACUCAAGUCUAGCAACGGGAGCAUAUGUCUCACCAUAGUCCAUACCUUCGACUUGUGUGUACCCUUGGGCAACGAGACGUACUUUGUUGUGAACCACUUGUCCAUCUUCAUCUUGCUUGUUGCGAAACACCCAUUUGGUACCAAUGAUGUUGUGGUUGUUGUCGGGCUUCUCAACCAAUGUCCAAACUUGGUUUCUCUCAAAGUUGUGUAGCUCUUCAUGCAUAGCGUUUAUCCAAUCCGGAUCUUCCAAUGCUUCUUCAACCUUCAUAGGUUCAAUGCUAGAAAUGAAUGAAUAGUUUUCACAAAAGUUAGCUAAACGAGUUUUUGAGCGAGUGAUUCUCCCGGUUUGUAUAUCAUUUAAGAUUUGCUCGACGGGAUGAUCUUUGGCAAUUCUUGCUCGAACUCGUGAGAGCUUUUGCUUGGGUAUUCGUUGAACAUCUUCUUCAUCUUGUUCUUCUUCUUGGCCUUCUUCAUUGUUGACGUUAUCGUUCUCUUGUCGUGGUGGAGAAGGAGGUUGUUGAUGUUCGUCUUGAUGCAUUUCCUUGUCUUCUUCAUCUUGGUGUGUCCCACUUGUGGAUGCUUCCAUGUCGAUUCUUGGUUCACCUUGUUGUGAAGUAGAAGCUUCCACUUGUAUGGACGAGGUACUCUCCUUCACCUCCGUUGGACGAAUUUUGCCAAUAGGCAAGUCUUGGAUUGCUUCUGAAGGGUCUUUGUCCCCUACAUCAAUUGGCAAUUACUCUACUUGCGAGCCAUUAGAUUCAUCAAACUUCACAUCUACCGUCUCAUCAACCUUUCGGGGUGAAAUUGUUGAGACACGGUAAGUGUGAGAGUUUGAGCCAUAACCAAGUAGAAAACCUUCAUGAGAUUUAGGAGCAAACUUUGAACGACGAUGCUUAUCAAGAAUGUAGCACUUUGAGCCGAAUACUCGAAAGUAUCCAACUUGGGGUUUGUUACCAGUGAGGAGCUCGUAUGCCGUCUUGCCGAGUAGCUUGUGAAGAUACAAGCGAUUUGUUGCAUGACAAGCUAUCUCAAUCGCUUCUGCCCAAAAGUGCUUCGGCGUCUUGUAUUCAUCAAGCAUCGUUCUUGCCAUUUCGAUGAGCGUCCGGUUCUUCCUCUCAACAACUCCAUUUUGUUGAGGUGUGUACGUAGCCGAGAACUCGUGUGAAAUCCCUUCUUCUUCAAGAAAGGUGUCCACAUUUGCGUUCUUGAACUCCGUUCCGUUGUCACUCCGAACCUUCUUGAUCUUCACGUCAAACUGAUUUUGGGCCUUCCUAGCGAAGUUUUUGAAGAUCUUCUGGACCUGCGACUUGUCAUUAAGAAAGAACACCCACGUAAAUCUUGAAAAAUCAUCAACUAUAACUAGACCAAAAGAAUUUCCACCGAGACUCUGUAGGCGUUGGGACCAAAAAGAUCCAUAUGAAGUAGCUCGAGUGGCCUCCUUGUGGUCAUGAUGUUCUUCACGGGAUGCCUUCCUCCAACCUGUUUACCUGCUUGACAAGCACUGCAAAGUCUAUCCUUAUCAAAUAUGACAUCGUUAACUCCAAGGAUAUGAUUUCCUUUAAUAAGCUUGUCAAGGUUUCUCAUGCCAACGUGACCUAGUCGUCUAUGCCACAACCAACCUUUUGAGGAUUUAGCAAUAAAGCAAGUUUUAGGUUGUGCCUUUUUAGAGAAAUCGACAAUGUAAAGAUCACCUCUAUGCAUACCGGUAAAGACCAUUUUAUGAUUGUCUCGACGAAAUACUUGGCAAUCUACCUCAGUAAAUAGGACAUUCAAACCGAAAUCAGCAAGUCUAGAUACUGAAAGUAAGUUGUAGCCGAGAGAUUCAACGAGCAUGACAUUUUGAAUGGAACUAUCAUGUGAGAUGGCCACCUUACCAAGGCCAACCACUUUACCCUUUGAAUUAUCACCAAAGGUGACAUAUUUCCGAGGACCGUCAUUUUCAGCAAGCUCACGGAACAUCUCUUCAUCUCCGGUCAUAUGAUCAGUACAUCCACUAUCAAGAACCCAUUCCUUUCCUCCUGACGCAUAUCCUCGAAGAUUUGCCGUAAGACCAAAGUGUCUCAUUGCAUCAUCAAGAUCGAAGUCACUAUCAUCAUCAUCACCAUGAUCUUGUGACUCAUCAUUUCCUAGAGAGGGUAAUUCAUUAGAUAAAUGAUCAUCAAAGUGGUCACUUUUAUGAAUUCUUAUAGCUUCGGAUAUAAUAUCACUAAUGAUUCCAACAUCUCCUUUAGCUCGCUUGAGAUUGGCAAGCUCAAAUAGACAAUCACCAAAACUAGGAUCACUAGAGUUCAUCUUACUCAAGGCAAUAGAGAAUUUCAUCCAAAUUUUUCAAGGAAUGAUCGGGAAAUUGUUCCUCAAGAAAUUUCCAUAUAGUAUAGGCACAAUUAAGAGUAGGCAAACUAGCAAUCAAAUUUUAGGACAAUCCUCUAAUGAUGAGCUCAAUAGUUCUAAGAUUGCGAAUCAUGUCAAUAUCUUCAUCUAGGGUAGGAUGCAAAGGAUCAAUAUGAGGUGCACAAGGGCUAGCAAUAUACUUGUUCAAAUGAUAUUGAUUGAAGAUUACAAGCAUCUCAUUUUUCCACUCAUGAAAAUAUUCUCCAUCAAGAAUAGGCACUCUAUGUCUAAGACUCCCUAAAGUAGACACAUCCAUCUUCCUCCAAUGGUGAUUAAACCCAGGCAAUGGAGACCAAAGCUCUGAUACCACUUAUAGGAUCUAGAAGUAGGUGUGUCUAGAGGGGGGUGAUUAGACACUUAGUGCUAAAGUUGCAAUUUUUAAUCUUUUUCAGUUUGAGUGGAGUUUUAGGCACAAUUUCAACAUACACAAUACAUAUCAAGCAAGCAUGCAAAGAGUAUAUGAGCAACGGAAUGUAAAGCAUGCAACUUGCAAGAAUGUAAGGGGAAGGGUUUGGAGAAUUCAAACGCAAUUGGAGACACGGAUGUUUUUCCCGUGGUUCAGAUAGGUGGUGAUAUCCUACAUCCACGUUGAUGGAGACUUCAACCCACGAAGGAUAACGGUUGCGCGAGUCCACGGAGGGCUCCACCCACGGAGGGUCCACGAAGAAGCAACCACCCACGAAGGGUAACGGUUGCGUGAGUCCACGGAGGGCUCCACCCACGAAGGAUCCACGAAGAAGCAACCUUGUCUAUCCCACCAUGGCCAUCGCCCACGAAGGACUUGCCUCACUAGCGGUAGAUCUUCACGAAGUAGGCGAUCUCCUUGCCCUUACAAACUCCUUGGUUCAACUCCACAAUCUUGUCGGAGGCUCCCAAGUGACACCUAGCCAAUCUAGGAGACACCACUCUCCAAGAAGUAACAAAUGGUGUGUUGAUGAUGAACUCCUUGCUCUUGUGCUUCAAAUGAUAGUCUCCCCAACACUCAACUCUCUCUCACAGGAUUUGGAUUUGGUGGAAAGAAGAUUUGAGUGGAAAGCAACUUGGGAAAGGCUAGAGAUCAAGAUUCAUAUGGUAGGAAUGGAAUAUCUUGGCCUCAACACAUGAGUAGGUGGUUCUUUCUCAGAACAUAUGAGUUGGAAGUGUAGAUGUGUUCUGAUGGCUCUCUCCAUGAAUGAAGAGGAGGUGGAGGGGUAUAUAUAGCCUCCACACAAAAUCCAACCGUUACACACAAUUUACCAAUCUCGGUGGGACCGAAUCAACAAACUCGGUCAGACCGAAAUAGUAAACCUAGUGACCGUUAGAGAUUUUCGGUGGGACCGACUGGAUCAACUCGGUGGGACCGAUGUGCUAGGGUUAGGGUAAAUCAAAAACUCGGUUUGACCGAUUACUCAAACUCGGUGGGACCGAUUUGGGUAAUAAGCAAAACAGAGAGUUGGCCAAGCAAACUCGGUGGGGCCGAUUGCAUAUCUCGGUGGGACCAAAAAUAUUACAAUAGGUAACAGAGAGUUUGCAAGCCCAUCUCGGUGAGACCGAGAUCCCAUCGGUGAGACCGAACUGAUUAGGGUUUCUGGCAGUGGCUAUGACAAGUGAAACUCGGUGGCGCCGGAUAGAAAGAAUCGGUAGGUCCGAGUUUGGCUCUGGGUUUAGGUCAUAUGAGGAAGUGGGAAAGUAGCUGAGGGUUUUGGAGCAUAUCAUUAAGCACAUGAAGCAAGAGGCUCAUUAAGCAACACCUCAUCCCUCCUUGAUAGUAUUGGCUUUUCCUAUGGACUCAAUGUGAUAUUGGAUCACUAAAAUGUAAAAUGAAGAGUCUUGAGCUUUAAGCUUUAGCCAAUCCUUUGUCCUUAGCAUCUUGGAGAACUUCCCACAACCUUUAGUCCAUGCCACUCCAUUGUUGAACUUAUCUGAAACAUACUAGAUAGAAAUAUUAGUCCAACAAGAGAUAUGUUGUCAUUAAUUACCAAAACCACCUAGGGAGCACUUGUGCUUUCACCUGGCGAAAGCUGGACAGGGUUUUCUCCCAGCAAGCACAAUCCGCUUUCGACUAGGGUGCGAUUACUCAUGAAAACAUAUGCUGCACCACGUCAUGGAAUGUUAGGCACCAUCCACCAUGUCGCCCCAAUGGACAUGGUAGCUAGCUCGCAACUGAGCCGUCAGCUCAGCCCACGGGCACCACGACUCCCACCACCAAGGCCGCCUCCCUGGAGACAAGGCACCCUAGAGCAUCCAUAGCCAUGGGCGAAGCAUCAAUUGGCACACCCAGACCAUCGACAGAGCCACAAACUAUCAGCUUGUCCAUAUCGUCCAGGGACAGGAGCAACUAGGCCAAGAAGAGGUGAAAGUGCGGGAGGGGACCUCGUCCACGACUGACACCCUCUUCACCGGCGAUGGGUGGCAUGACCUCAUCGGAUCCAUCCAACCCUCCCACCACCUCUCCACACACAACCCCUGUGACGCCCCACCAUGGCCCCAUGCCUGAUUCGAUGUGGAAAGCUCCAGCCACCCGCCUACUGAUGCGAGGUACGGACCAGCCACACCACAGUUGCCGCAGACGGACUCUAGGAGUGCCCACUUGAGCCGGCAACCAAUGCGCCAAUGUUAGUCCAACUGCCACCACGACGUUACCCGCCAAAUCACCAUGGUCAUCACGAUGUCGACAUGUCAACAAACAUCGUGAGAGGCCAUCGCUCGUUUUCAUAGACCACCCCAGCAAACCAGACGGGGCCACUGCCACCAUGCUGCGCCACUAACCGUCCCCUAGGUUCCAGAUCCAACGGAUUUGGCUGGGAUGCAGCCAACAUGCUGAUGCCCAAGUCAUCGUCGCGCCACCACCAAACGCUCACGCAACCACGUCACUUCGUCCCUUUGGUAGCGCAACGUCGUUGCUCAACCAACCGCCCAGCACCAGCCGCUGGGGAAUGAGUGAAAGGGAAGAAAGACCCCACCACCGUCAUCAUUGGUCAGGCUCUCGACAACGGCAGAGGAGGAGGGAAGGAAGGGGAGAGAGGUUUGUUGGAGGUCACUCACGGGAGGGAGCCCCAACGACGCCUCUCAACAACGAACGGGGAUGAGGGUAGGAAGAGGAGGGAGGUUUGUUGCCAAGCUAGGGUUUCCUCCCGGCCGGUCAUAGGAGGGAGGCCCGACGACCCCUCUUGGUGGCAACGGGGAAGAAGGGAAGGAAGGAAAUGGAGGUUUGGUGGCAAGCUAGAGUCCCAUACCCCCCGUCGCUCAUGGGAUGAAAGGAAGGGGGGAUUCCUGCCACCACAACUAAUUUUGUACCAUCUGCAUCCAUCAGUUUAAUAAACUGUCAUGAUCAACGAUCAAUUUUUGAACACAAUACAAGCUGAGCGGCCCAUAUACACGCACAUACACUCAUCCUAUAAACGCACGCACGCACAUCCUAUCCCUAUGAAUACCUCCGAGACAUUAAGCCGACACAACAUCUUGAGAUUGACGGCCAUCACAUACGUCUCGUAGUAUUAAUACCCACGAAACGACAUAAACCUGCAUCAUUCAUUAUGCAAGCUUAAAAGUGGAAAUGCAAGGAAUCCAAGGAAGAUAUCGGGUGCUACCGGCCUCUUAGGUGAUACCGUGAUAUGGGCUUCUAAGAGCGUUUAGAUCUCAGAUCCGACGACUCCCAGAAGGUCUUGAACAUUCUGCAAAAAAAGUCAUCCGAGAAUCUCAAAAUUACGCACAUGUACAACAACUCAUCAGUUGCGGUCGAAUAUAUUCGCGAAAAAAAAAGAGAGUUGCGGUCGAAUUUGAGACCCGGUAGGCCUGAUAUUUCCCCAAGGAGUCCAUCAACCAGACGCCGCCGACUGCGUGCGUCGGAGAGCCGGAGACCCAACCGUCUUCCUCCCCACGCAUUAAUAAGCCCUCGCCUUAAAUCGCCCCUCCCAACCGUCUUCCUCCCCAGCUUUCCGACGGCAUCCAUCCCGGAACGGAAAACACCAACCUGCUUUCCACCUAUAAAAUCCGCCCUUCCCCACCCCAAAUCCCACAACAGCAAACCAAAUCCCCAAGACCAAAAAAGGCCCCAGCAACCCGAGCGCGUCGACCCCAUCCACAACAGUUGAAUCUGAGUUUACUUCCAGGAAAGAUUUGAGUCGAGAUGGCGCAGGCGAUCGAGGCUCAGAGGGAGGGCGCGGAGGUGUACCACGGCGCGGCGCUGUGCGCGGAGAAGGCGGUGGAGCUGCUGGCGGAGACCAACAUGCCGCUGGGCCUGCUGCCGCUGGCGGAUAUCGAGGAGGUGGGCUACAACCGCGCCACCGGCUUCGUCUGGCUGCGCCAGAAGAAGGCGCUCACGCACACCUUCAAGCAGAUCGGGCGGCAGGUCUCGUACGGCACCGAGGUGACGGCCUUCGUCGAGGACCGCAAGAUGAAGCGCAUGACCGGGGUCAAGAGCAAGGAGCUCCUCAUCUGGAUCACCCUCUGCGACAUGUACAUCGACAAGGACGACCCCUCCAAGAUCACCUUCAAGACGCCCACCGGGCUCGGGAGGACCUUCCCCGUCUCCGCCUUCGAGAAGGAGGACUGCGGCAAGGCCAAGGCCGCAGCCGGCGGCGGCAAGGAGGCCCUCGUGGCCAAGUAAGUGACGACGGCCGGCAUACUACAGAGCUUGGAUGAAAAGUACUCAAAAGUCCAACGUUAACUACGACUACUAUUUGCUUUCACCUGUUUUAAUAAACUACAGUGCUAUAUAUACUCUGCUCCGGUGUUCUGCCGAGGGUUGUAUCGUUCAUAUGAUCGUGCGAUGAUAUGAUCUUAUAGUACUAUACUGUGUGCUGUUCGCUGCAUAAUGGUGUGAACCUUUUUGUGGCAGUGUCACGAGGUGUACGUGACUACGUGUUCUCCGAUUUUAUUUUAGGCAUGAAAAGCUUCUCUCCUUCUGCACAGACAAAGGGACGAUUCUGGUCUCCUGCUAUUUAAU
Molecule: long non-coding RNA, 44658 nt
Filed under: Triticum aestivum (bread wheat)
Lineage: Eukaryota; Viridiplantae; Streptophyta; Magnoliopsida; Poales; Poaceae
Description: long non-coding RNA (TAES_LNC025305)
Source: RNAcentral